Pseudoliparis swirei is the source of this 970-nucleotide long non-coding RNA. RefSeq lists it as uncharacterized. The record is from RefSeq and is a predicted model, not a curated record. NCBI's taxonomy places the organism in Eukaryota, Metazoa, Chordata, Actinopteri, Perciformes, Liparidae. The transcript has 3 exons.
GGCAUGGUGUUCUGCAUUUCUGUGUCGCCUUGGGCGUCAAGAGUAAGUUAACUUAGCUAUCUGAUGGUUAAGUGUUUUCACGUUUCUUUAACAUCGUCGAUGUAACGUAGGUUGUCGGUUUCUGUGUUGAACGAGCUAACAUUAGCUUACUUUACAUAUGUUAGCUGAGGUAAUGUUUAGCUAACGCUCGUGUUAUAGGUUCAUUAGUGGCAGGUGGGUUAAGACACCUGAGGGGUCACGUGCUACACACUGCAUCUAAUAACGACCAUUUUAUUGAAGUGCUUUGAAACUGGUUCCACGCAGACAUGUAUAGACAAGCUCACAUAUACCGGAGCGGUCAGUCCGGACAGUCACGUGACCAGACACGUUAUUGUACAGGUCUGUUCACGUGACGUCGGGACUCUGUACACGUGACGCUCUUAACGUGACGCUCUUAACGUGAUGCUGUUGACGUGGUCGGGACUCUGUUCACGUGACUGUUGUUAACAUGACGCUUAUAACUGCGCUAUGGCGGGACAUGACAGCUCACAGCUCCUCAGAAGCUCCGUGCACCGUGAGCUGUCCAGUGAGGGGAUGGUUUCAUGAUCAAAUCUUCAUUUACUGUCCACAUUAUCAGAUGAGGACGUCACCAAAGGGAGUGUCCUUUGAGUCAAUGUUUACAUUUAUGUACAGAUAAUUAAGAACAAUUAGUUAAUUGUAAAAUGCUAAUUAUUUUCUCCUGCCACCUUUCAGACAUUAUAAUCCAACUUGGAUGGAAAAACUUCGUGACCUUAAUGACACCCAGCAACACAAGAGACACACAAGCACCACAGGGGAGGAUCUGCAGCAAAGGGACCACCGGAAAUCAAACCUUGGCCGCCAUGAUGACGACAACAUGGGCCACUUGAGUGUGUGAUUACGACUACCAGCAUGAACCUCAACACCUUCUUUGCUGUUCCACUAGUGUGACCCAUGAUCGGAUACAAGUUGU